UAGUUCAUACCUGUUAUUAUUAUCUUUUGUUUAUGAUGAUGAAAGUUGUAUAAAUAAUGUAUACAUGUAAAGAAGCUUAUGUUUUGGAUGAAAGAAAUGCUAUGUAUUUGGGAACAUGUGAUGUAUAAAGAAAAGAAUGAAAGAAUGUAAAUGUUUAUAUGCAUGUAUGUGAUUGAAAGUAAUCAUAGUGCUUGUAUGGAUGUAAUAGAUGUAGAACUUUCACUUUUGUUGUUGCUUGCUCUCGUGCAAGUCAUGUAUAUGCUUCUGUUUCCGCUGUGUAAUAACUAUAUAUAUAUGUUGACGUUGUGCCGAGCCUUGGGCGGACAAGGGAGGCUCUGUCCGUUCAGCGUCUGUUGGUGUGCCCGAACCGACCAAAUAGGCGGGCUCGGGGUGUGAUAGUAGGGGCAUGUUUGUUUCAACGUAAGUAGACUUGGGGUGGAAGUGGACUUUGGAUUGAAGUGGAGUUUAGGUGAAAAUUAAUUCACUUCCGCUGUUUGUUUCUAACUAUGGAAGUGCAGUUCUGUGAGUUCUGUUGUUUGUUUGGUGGAAAAUAGAUGACGUAAAAGUGUAGCUCUCCAUUCCUGGUAUACUUACCUCCGAAGUGAUAUUAUUGUCUAUUUUGUAACUUAGUGAAUAAUAAAUUAUAAUAAAUAAAAAUUAAUAUAAUUAUAUAUGUAUAUAAUUAUAUAUAUAUAUGUGUAAUUAUAAAAUAAAAUUUUAAAAAAUUAUAUUAUUUGUUUGCAUAUAAAUUAUAAUAAUGUAACAAAUAAAAUUCUAAAGUUAAAAAAUUAUUAACAUUUAACAAAUUCAUUUUUCAUCAUUUUUUAAGUAUACAUAUUAAACAAAAAAUAUAUUAAAACUUGCCCAACUAAAUUUGAUCACAUUACCUAACCAAAUUUAACAAGCUUCUUUGCCUCUUUGCACUUCACCGGAAUUGACUUCGCCCCGUGGGAGGGCGAAGUCAAUUACCCUAUUUUGGGCGAACUUGACUUUCGGCCGUAAUAAAAUUACGGCAAAACAAACAAUGGAAGUGAUAGUUUACGGCGUAAACAACUUCCCCCCUCUCCACUUCCCCAUCACUUUUACCCAAACAAACACAC
RNAcentral lists this long non-coding RNA (1100 nucleotides) under Ananas comosus (pineapple). Its description in RNAcentral is "long non-coding RNA (ACOM_LNC027990)". The record is from RNAcentral. Lineage: Eukaryota; Viridiplantae; Streptophyta; Magnoliopsida; Poales; Bromeliaceae.